RNAcentral lists this ribosomal RNA (253 nucleotides) under uncultured bacterium. RNAcentral describes it as "partial 16S ribosomal RNA". It matches the Rfam family "Bacterial small subunit ribosomal RNA", at positions 524 to 776 of the family's 1533-position model. The record is from RNAcentral.
UACAGAGGGUGCUAGCGUUGUUCGGAAUCAUUGGGCGUAAAGGGCUCGUAGGCGGCCAACUAAGUCAGACGUGAAAUCCCUCGGCUUAACCGGGGAACUGCGUCUGAUACUGGAUGGCUUGAAUCCGGGAGAGGGAUGCGGAAUUCCAGGUGUAGCGGUGAAAUGCGUAGAUAUCUGGAGGAACACCGGUGGCGAAGGCGGCAUCCUGGACCGGCAUUGACGCUGAGGAGCGAAAGCCAGGGGAGCAAACGGG